Molecule: long non-coding RNA, 1340 nt
Organism: Zingiber officinale
Lineage: Eukaryota; Viridiplantae; Streptophyta; Magnoliopsida; Zingiberales; Zingiberaceae
Exons: 3
Source: RefSeq, a predicted model, not a curated record
GGGCGGGGGCAAAUUAGGGUUCCAUAGGAAGAGAGAAGCAUCAGGUAAUCGAACUCACUAUUCUCCGACUCCUUCCUCCGCACCAUUGGCCAGUAGGACACGAUCGCGGAGAUGGGCUAGGUCUACUCCCACAGCCUCUUGCCUCAGCUUAUCGCCUUCAUCCUUUACUGCCCAAUGCAGUGGUUUCUGCAGGCCUAGAACAUCAUCAACCCCAUGGCCAUCAUCACCAUCAUCGUUCUCCUCUUCAACAUCCUCAUCUACUAGCUCACUGUCUUCGUCCUUGACUUUGGACACCUUGGCGCCUCCAUCACUCUCAGCAUCUCUUAGUGGGUGCUCAUCCUCUCCACCUAGUUCUACAUCAUCCUCAGCCCUUCCUGCAGGCCACCUGGACCGACCUCUUCAUCAAGGCCUUCACCGACAUCUGGCUCUUUUUCAAACUCACUAUUUCAUUAGCCAUCAUGCUCGUGUAAGUCAACCCCCCAACUUCCACACCCUCUUUUCCUCUUCCCCUUCACUCAAACAUUCAUCAUAGCUUAGAGGUUUGGUACGUCCAAGGUUUCAUGCCGAUCACAAGCUACCUCCCAUAUCCGGAGAUCUCACUCGAUGUCAUAUCUAUAUGGUAAUCAAUGAUGAUACAACUUAUCAAUUCCUCACUAACAGUGUGAUCGAUUCCAGUGUGAAUUACUGGAACUGGGACUUCAUGAUCAUGCUCGGCUUGAGCAAUGCUGCAAGAUUUGACGACUACCGCACUUGUAUUAAUCUCCAUGAAUUAUUCACUAACAACCAAAGGCUGUUUAUUACAGUGUGAGGAUAGGGAACGAGUUGUGAGCUGCUCAUCCUCGAGUCACUAAGUUUGUAGUCCUUGUCAUGGUGGCGACCAACUUGAUCCUUAGCUUGAUUAUCAGUAUGUUGGUCCUCGUACUACACAUGCCCUUGAGCAAGCUCUACACCAGCAGUUUUGAGGAACUUGGUAUUGACGUGAAUCUAUAUGCCUUGGUAUUUGGAGAGUCAGUUUUAAAUGAUGCAGGGUGAUAUGCUACUCACUCAGGAGAAUGAGGAUACUAUGGUUCAUGAAGGAGAUGCGGUAGCAAAGUUGGAGAUGAAGACAUUGAGGCUGGUGAUAGUUUCUCGACAUCAAAUUAUAAAUAUGAAGCUGGAGAUGAAGGCUAAGAUGGAAGUCUUGAGAACGACAUGAACACUUGUCGCUAGUGGAAUACUUGGAUGCAUAUUAGAUUAACGUAGUGUUGAAAUAAUAUUGACAGUAAAAUCUUUGAUUGUUAGAAAUUCAUGAUUUUUUGUACUUGAUUUAGAGAAAUUUGUGAGUUUGUAAAAUAAUUAUU